GACGAACGCUGGCGGCGUGCUUAACACAUGCGAGUCGAACGGAAAGGCCCUGCUUUUGUGGGGUGCUCGAGUGGCGAACGGGUGAGUAACACGUGAGUAACCUGCCCUUGACUUUGGGAUAACUUCAGGAAACUGGGGCUAAUACCGGAUAGGAGCUCCUGCUGCAUGGUGGGGGUUGGAAAGUUUCGGCGGUUGGGGAUGGACUCGCGGCUUAUCAGCCUGUUGGUGGGGUAGUGGCUUACCAAGGCUUUGACGGGUAGCCGGCCUGAGAGGGUGACCGGCCACAUUGGGGCUGAGAUACGGCCCAGACUCCUACGGGAGGCAGCAGUGGGGAAUAUUGCACAAUGGGCGGAAGCCUGAUGCAGCAACGCCGCGUGCGGGAUGACGGCCUUCGGGUUGUAAACCGCUUUCGCCUGUGACGAAGCGUGAGUGACGGUAAUGGGUAAAGAAGCACCGGCUAACUACGUG
This 468-nucleotide ribosomal RNA is filed under the name uncultured bacterium. RNAcentral describes it as "partial 16S ribosomal RNA". It matches the Rfam family "Bacterial small subunit ribosomal RNA", at positions 28 to 507 of the family's 1533-position model. The record is from RNAcentral.